AUGCAUACCUGGUAGGGGCGACUCCAUGAUCAGGCAGGUGGAUCGCCUAGAGUGAGGAUCAGCCAUUGCACUCCAGCUUUUCUGAAUUCUCCACAUGUGAGAAUAUCAACUGCAUAAUUUUUUACUAGUGGGGACUGCAUUCGCGCUCUGCCUGA
This 155-nucleotide small nuclear RNA is filed under the name Sinocyclocheilus grahami. RNAcentral describes it as "U1 spliceosomal RNA (ENSSGRG00000011317.1)". It matches the Rfam family "U1 spliceosomal RNA". From Rfam's summary of the family: U1 is a small nuclear RNA (snRNA) component of the spliceosome (involved in pre-mRNA splicing). Its 5' end forms complementary base pairs with the 5' splice junction, thus defining the 5' donor site of an intron. The record is from Rfam by way of RNAcentral. Lineage: Eukaryota; Metazoa; Chordata; Actinopteri; Cypriniformes; Cyprinidae.